UAAGUGUCGUAAGGGCAUUUGGUGGAUGCCUUGGCAUGCACAGGCGAUGAAGGACGUGAUACGCUGCGAAAAGCCGUGGGGAGCUGCGAAUGAGCUUUGAUCCAUGGAUCUCCGAAUGGGGCAACCCACCUUAAAUACCUAGAAAAUCAUUCUGGUUGUCGGAUCUUUGAUCCGGCAUUGCGGCGAACGAUCGCCGACGGCCUCUGGCCUGUAUGGGAGUUCCCAAUACAGCGCGGAGCGCGUCGCCGGUCGUCCGGCGCGCUGACGCAGCGCUGCACGAAGUGCAGAACGAGCGUGAGUGAAAACCCGAAUGGUUUCUAGGUAUUGUGAUAAGGUAUCUACACCUGAAUACAUAGGGUGUAAGAAGCGAACGCAGGGAACUGAAACAUCUAAGUACCUGCAGGAAAGGACAUCAACCGAGACUCCGCAAGUAGUGGCGAGCGAACGCGGACCAGGCCAGUGGCAAUUGUGAUUAAAGUGGAACGCUCUGGAAAGUGCGGCCGUAGUGGGUGACAGCCCCGUACGCGUAGAUAUCAUGAUUGUCCUAGAGUAGGGCGGGACACGAGAAAUCCUGUCUGAACAUGGGGAGACCACUCUCCAAGCCUAAGUACUCGUGCAUGACCGAUAGCGAACAAGUACCGUGAGGGAAAGGUGAAAAGCACCCCGACAAGGGGAGUGAAAUAGAACCUGAAACCGGAUGCCUACAAACAGUCGGAGCCCGCAAGGGUGACGGCGUACCUUUUGUAUAAUGGGUCAACGACUUAGUGUAACAAGCAAGCUUAAGCCGGUAGGUGUAGGCGAAGCGAAAGCGAGUCUGAAUAGGGCGAUAUAGUUUGUUGCAUUAGACCCGAAACCGAGUGAUCUAGCCAUGAGCAGGUUGAAGGUUGGGUAACACCAACUGGAGGACCGAACCCGCAUCUGUUGCAAUAGAUUGGGAUGACUUGUGGCUAGGGGUGAAAGGCCAAUCAAACUCGGAAAUAGCUGGUUCUCCGCGAAAUCUAUUUAGGUAGAGCGUCGAGCGAAUACCCCCGGGGGUAGAGCACUGGAUGGGCUAUGGGGACUCACCGUCUUACUGAUCCUAACCAAACUCCGAAUACCGGGGAGUACUACUCGGCAGACACACGGCGGGUGCUAACGUCCGUCGUGAAAAGGGCAACAACCCUAACCUCCAGCUAAGGUCCCCAAGUCAUGGCUAAGUGGGAAAGGAUGUGAGGAUCCCAAAACAACCAGGAUGUUGGCUUAGAAGCAGCCAUCAUUUAAAGAAAGCGUAACAGCUCACUGGUCUAAAUAAGGGUCUUUGCGCCGAAAAUGUAACGGGGCUGAAGCCAUGCACCGAAGCUGAGGAUGUGUAGCAAUACACGUGGUAGCGGAGCGUUCCGUAAGCCGAUGAAGGGAGACCCGUGAGGGCUCCUGGAGGUAUCGGAAGUGCGAAUGUUGACAUGAGUAACGAUAAAGAGGGUGAGAGACCCUCUCGCCGAAAGACCAAGGGUUCCUGCUUAAAGUUAAUCUGAGCAGGGUUAGCCGGCCCCUAAGGCGAGGCAGAAAUGCGUAGUCGAUGGGAACCACGUUAAUAUUCGUGGGCCUGGUGGUAGUGACGGAUUGCACAAGUUGUUCAUUCUUAUUGGAUUGGAUGGGCAGCGGAGCGGUUCCAGGAAAUAGCUCCACCGUAUAGACCGUACCCGAAACCGACACAGGUGGUCAGGUAGAGUAUACCAAGGCGCUUGAGAGAACUAUGUUGAAGGAACUCGGCAAAUUGCACGCGUAACUUCGGAAGAAGCGUGACCCCAUGCUAGGCAACUAUUAUGGGGUGGCACAGACCAGGGGGUAGCGACUGUUUAUCAAAAACACAGGGCUCUGCGAAGUCGCAAGACGACGUAUAGGGUCUGACGCCUGCCCGGUGCUGGAAGGUUAAGAGGAGAGGUGCAAGCUUUGAAUCGAAGCCCCAGUAAACGGCGGCCGUAACUAUAACGGUCCUAAGGUAGCGAAAUUCCUUGUCGGGUAAGUUCCGACCUGCACGAAUGGCGUAACGACUUCCCCGCUGUCUCCAACAUAGACUCAGUGAAAUUGAAUUCCCCGUGAAGAUGCGGGGUUCCUGCGGUCAGACGGAAAGACCCCGUGCACCUUUACUAUAGCUUUACACUGGCAUUCGUGUCGGCAUGUGUAGGAUAGGUGGUAGGCUUUGAAGCGGGGACGCCAGUUUCCGUGGAGCCAUCCUUGAAAUACCACCCUUAUCGUCAUGGAUGUCUAACCGCGGCCCGUUAUCCGGGUCCGGGACAGUGUAUGGUGGGUAGUUUGACUGGGGCGGUCGCCUCCGAAAGAGUAACGGAGGCGCGCGAUGGUGGGCUCAGACCGGUC
This 2355-nucleotide ribosomal RNA is filed under the name Rhizobium leguminosarum bv. viciae WSM1455. RNAcentral's name for it is "23S ribosomal RNA". It matches the Rfam family "Bacterial large subunit ribosomal RNA", at positions 1 to 2332 of the family's 2925-position model. The record is from RNAcentral. Lineage: Bacteria; Pseudomonadati; Pseudomonadota; Alphaproteobacteria; Hyphomicrobiales; Rhizobiaceae.